GACUGGCAGAGCAAUCUUCUGUUUGCUACAGCAAGGCUUGAAAAAUGUUCUCCUGCUUCAAAGAGAAAGGAAUAUGAUGUUAAGAACACGUGCGUGAGUUGAUUUGUUGAGAAGAUGGAAGGGGACCCCAUGUUAGAAUAAAGGUGAUGGUGAUUGCCGGAAGAGUUUUCCCAUUUGCCACAAAUGGAUCAGGCGUUAGUGCU
RNAcentral lists this long non-coding RNA (203 nucleotides) under Struthio camelus australis. RNAcentral's name for it is "lncRNA (ENSSCUG00000014887.1)". Lineage: Eukaryota; Metazoa; Chordata; Aves; Struthioniformes; Struthionidae. The record is from RNAcentral.